GUAAUAAUAAUGUUAAUGAUCAUUUUAUUUCUGACCUUAACACAUCUUAUUUAUAAUAGUAAAAAUAAUAAUAAUAGAGUCAAAUGAUGGUAUUAAUGAUAAAAUACAAUACUAAUGAAGUAAACAUUACUAUUAUUAGAUAGUGAUAAUAUUAUGAUAACAAUAAUAAUGAUAAUUACUAUAAUAAACAAUACAUGCUUCAUUUGAGCCAAACGAGAAAAUGUAGUUCUCUGCUAUCAGCGUGAAAAAUUAUUUAUCUGCUCAUGACAAUUAGUUUUUAAAAAAGUAUUACUAUGACGACUGUAAUGUUAUUGUAAUCAUUAUCAUUAUUAUCACUCACUGUCACCCCCAAUACAAAAGUAAAUACAUGAUAACCGUGGUGUGUGUGAGGCGCCACAAGAUUUCAGUUGAGUGCCAACAGCUUGUGAAAAACUUCAUUUUCAAAGGUCAAAGGUCUUGCGUACCUUAGCGAUGACCAGGUGGCCGACGCCUUUCCCGUCUGUUUUCACGGCGAAGACCUCGUCAUCAUUGCCUUCUGAGAUGUGGAACUCGAUGUAGGAGCUGCCGCUUUCCGGGUCGUCCGCAUCUGACGCCGUGAUGCUGAGCACCGUGUGUCCUACGUCCACGUCCUCCGCCAGCGUGUGGCUGCCAUACUGCACGCCGCAACACACACACAUAUUAACACACACACAUAUACAACACACGUUUCUGUGUGCCCUUACAUCAUUCUUCUCAAAGAGAGGCAGCUCGUUGUUGACAUCAAUGACCUUGACCACAACCUUGCAAUCUGCACUGUAAGCUGAGGGACAGACGUGAUGAACACACGACACACCACUAAGUGUGUGUGUGUGUGUGUGUGCGUCUUACCUGGAUCACUGACUCGGACGCUGAGCUUGUACACCUGAUGCUCUCGACGCUGCAGCGAGCGCAGUGCUUGAAUUCGACCAGAGGCGGCGUCGAUGGCGAAGGAGCCAAGCGAGGUGGUCGGCUCUUGGGACACGAUGGUGUAGGUCAGCAGAGCGUUGAGCGUCCCUUCUUCGUCGUCAUCGUGGGCCAGCAGUUGUCCAACCAGGCUGCCUGAAAGCACAAGAAAGAGUGAGAAGCCAGUGCGACGUUUCAUUACUUUGUACAUUUUAACAUGAAAUAUUUUUACAUUUACUGUAUUUAUUUAUUAAACAGUAUACUUGAGCCAAAAUGGACGCCACGUCCCACACGAUAAGGCAGUGGAGAAAGGUAAUGUUAAUAAGGAAAGCUAUAACGUAAGUAGUAAGCAGGGGUGUCUUUUUCCAGGAAGGGCCACAAAGGGCCACAUAAAUGACAGGACGCAAGGGCCACUUGGAUAUUUUGUAAAAUCUGCUAAGAAGUUUGAUAUAUUUCAAGAAAAAACUGCAUCUCAGCUUUGUGAAAGAGUACUGCUUGUAUGAACUUCGAUCUUUACUCUUUUUUUCCCAUUUUUGCUGGGUUAUUUUCAAAUAUUUCAACUUUCUUGUCAAAUAAUCUCCUUUUAAAUCUUCAUGUCAUGAUAUUACAACGUUAUUCCCAUAACAUUUUGACGUUAUUCCCGUAGGAUUAUAACUUUUUCCCCAACCUAAUUCUCCAGAAAUGACAACUUUGUUUUGUUUUGUUUGUUUCUCAUAACAUUGUAACUUUAAAUAACAUUUCAACUCUAUGCUACUAAAUAGGGAUGUCCCGAUCCCAUCUUCAGGAUCGGGAUCGGCUGCCGAUCCGCUGUACUUUGAAGAUCGGAUAAUUUCGGCUUCGGCCACGAGAUCGGGCUGAUUCGGUUGCCGUAUAACGUUUGGAACUCUAGGUCACUCUCCAACAUGGUAGGUGUGGUAAUGCCACUCGACUCCCGCCACCCGCAAGAAGAAGAAAACGCAACACCCCCAUGCAGACAUGUCCACGGUGUACCGUGGUGAAGAUAGUUUCACAGUGGAUGUUCCGCUCCGUAGAUACGGCGGUAUCUCCCCCUCACUGUGCCCGGACUGCUGUGUCAUUGUGCGAGGAGAUUGCACAGGAAGUGCCGGUCUAACUGCUGGUUGGUUAUACUAGAUACUAUCAUAGAUUUAGCAGUGAGUGAUUUUGACGGGAAUACAGGUAAACUCAAUCCAUGCCAGCAAGUAACUUAUUCUUACAAUCCACUGUAAACAUGUCCUAGAACGUCUCACCUACAGGCUCAUCCUCCUGCACCUCAAACACACUCUCCUCAUUCACACACACGGGUGCGUUGUCGUUCACGUCCUCCACCACGACCUGGAUCUCCAUGGGUGGAUCCACCUGGUUCUGAUACUCAUCCUCUGCCAUCGCCACCAGGAUGUACUGAAAGACAAGCAAGACCAAGCUCACCGUCAGCCCUCCGUGGAACAAUAAUGACGUAGGAGAGCUUUAUUGUUGUUCACCAUGUCCUUCUCUUCCCUGUCCAACUCCUCCGUCAGGAGGAUUUCUCCAUCUUCUGUGAUCUGGAAGGGGAAGGUCAGCUCUCUGUCUUUCUGUACAAGCCUGUAGACGGCGUUAGGAUCGUUGGAUUGGACCUAAAAGCAGACACCGCGAUGAGUACUCGUGACUUGUCAAGCAUCUUCAUCUCAGAAGUGUCCUCACCUUUGCAACGAUACGCGGGUGAAGAAGGGAUUCUCUUCAUGUGGGAUGGUCGGCGCGGGACAGUAGUCGUCAAACUUUGCCUUCAGAGCGUCAACGCCACGGUCUUCUCCUCUGGCGUACUGGAUUGUCUCACUGGCCGUGAGGCUUUGUUCACCUGUUUGUUCACAAUGAUGCUCAUUCAGCAAGAAGACGGACUUUUUCGGUGGAACACGAUAUGGAACUGAUUGUGACGCCGGAAAAAGUGGAACACGUGUCUCUUCCCUAGGUGAGCUCCUACACAGUAUCAGGGAUGGAUCCAAGAAAGGAGAUUACCCUCCGUAUUUCAUAGGUGGAAAUGUUUAAAAUGGGGAUAUGAAUUAGGUAAUAAAUACUUUGCAAACAUUGGACCAAAUCUGCAAGAAAAGAUCCCAAAUUACUUGUCAGCGGAAGAAGGGAAUUCAAUCAUAGACAGGAAGUCCAUGUUCCUCACUGAUGUGGCAAAAAAAGAAAUAAUUGAUAUUGUCAAUAAAAGUAAAGCAAAAACAUCAACUGAUUGUAAUGAAAUGGAAAUGGAAACGAUAAAAAAGGUAAUGAACGAGAUUUUGUUGUACAUCAGUAAUUUAUCAUUUAAGAUGGAUAUAUUUCCAAAUAAAAUGAAAAUAGCUAAAGUAGCACCAAUUUUCAAAACUGGAGACAAACAUCAUUUCAAGUACCAACCAGUUUCUUUAUUGCCACAAUUUCCUCAAAAUCAUUGAAAAGCUAUGAAAAAAAGCUAUGAAGAAAGAAUGACUUAUUCACGGACAGCCAAUACGGAUACAACUUCCUUGGCACUACUUGAAAUAAGCGAGGAAAUUACCAACGCUGUAGACUGCAGAGAGUGCGCAGGUGCAGUAUCUAUGGAUCUGACAAACGCACUUGAUACAAUUCAUAUUAUCUUAAUUAACAAACCAGAACGGUAUGGAAUCAGAGGGCCAGUACUGAACUGGGUAAAAAGCUGCUUAGCAAACUGGAAGCAAUAUGUGAAGCUAGGAGAAUAUACAGUACAACUGCAAGCUUAAAUAUAUCAUGCGGCAUACCCCAGGGGUCAAUACGGGGACCAAAACUGUUCAACCUAUAUAUAAAUGACAUCCAUAAAGCAACAAAAGACCUAAAGCUAGUAUUAUUUGCAGACGAUACCACUGCAUUUUGUUCUGGAGAAUUUACGAGCUAAUAAAAUAAGUACAGUAAGCUAUAAUAAGUAAAAUAAGUAAGAGCUAAUAAAGAAAGUCACAGAUGCAAUAACUGUACUAGAAAGAUGGUUUGAUAAAAACAGAUUGUCCCUGAACCUACUGUAGAUAAAGCUAAAAUAAUGCCGUCUGGUAAUAGCAUACAAUACAAUACAAUACAAAUAGAUGGCGUGGACGUUGACAGGGUGAAUGAUAAUACAUUUCUCUAAAAUGAGCCCACGUGAAAAAUAUACAACAUAAAGUGGCAAAAAAUAUGUCUAUACUGAAUAAAGCAAAAUAGGUCCUGGUCCAAAAAUCACUUGACUUGUUCUCUGGUUUUACCAUAUCUAACGUAUUGUGUGGAGAUACGGGGCAAUUACUAUGAAAGUUCACUUCACCCACUAACUGUGCUACAAAAAAGUUCAGUUAGGGUCAUCCAUAAUGCCGCUUAUAGAGAACAUACCAUCCCUUUAUUCCUAAAAUCACAACUAUUACAUUUGUUGACCUGGUAAACCUUCAAACAGCUAAAAUUAUGCAAAAAACAACCAGCUACCCAAAAACGUAAUCAUGACGAGAGAAGAAAUAUGAUCUUAGGGAAAAAAUAAACUGAAAACACAUACGCACGAACGACACUAAAAACCUUCAGCAUAUCAGCAUGUGGAAUCCAGUUCUGGAACAAAUUGAGUAAAGAACCCAAAUAAUGCACUAAACUGAGCCAUUUCAAGAAACGGUACAAGCAGUUGAUGUUUACAAAAUAUAAGGAAGAAGAAUCCGGAGGCGCAGGGAAACACCUGAACAAUGCUAUGUCAUAUGACAACUGCACUUUAUGCAAUUGUAUGCAAAUUGCAGCAAUUUGUUCAUACAGAUUUACACACCUCAACUUCAUUGUAACACACUGAUAUAUUUCUUGAUCAUUUUCUCAUGUUAUUUCAGAAGUGGCAAAGGGCACAUGCUGAAAAGGAAGUGAACAAAUGUAUUAGCAAUUGAUGUGAAACAAAGAGCGGGUAGAAUUGAAUAAGCUCUGCUUCUUCCUACUCCUUUUGGACAUGUGGAAUUGUGAAUUGUAAAAUGUGAUGUAUACCGAAGUAAAACAUAUGUAUGUUCAAAUAAAAUCAAACCAUUUCCAUUACCAUAGUUACUCCGUACAAUAAGGAUACACUGACAAUACGUAAAGAAGGGAACGUAGUCGGCUGUUUAUGUGAAGAGACUCACCUCCCAGUUCUGUCCAUUAAAGUGAAAGCUGAUUACACUCCUUUUUGUUUCUGAGUUGCACUACUUUUAGCAGAGUUUAACUUCUUUUUACACUUGAAUGAUUACUUUUUAAGCCAUGUUUGAGAACAGAAAACAAAUACAGUCGUCCCUCAUUGCUUCUGGUUCCAGACCCGACCGCACUAAGUGAAUUUCCAUGAAGUAGAAUUCAAUAUUAAUAAACUGAAUAUUUACGUAAUUAGAUCAUAGAAAACUUGUUUACGACUUCCUAAAUGCAGAUUUAGCCCUGUACACAUGAAAUAACACCCUUUUAGUCACUUUUACACUCCUAUUAUUCUUUGUUUGCAACACAUUGGGCAGGCUGCGGCCGCUAGCAUAGCAAGCUACCAAACUAACUAGUUAGCCUCUCCAAUUUACUUAUUCUAAACUUAAGAAAGUGUUUCAAACAGACAGGGCAAGAAGGACAAAGAAGCCCAAAACUUACCACUUCCACAUAGAAUGAGAGGAGAACCUUUUUUCUAUUCGAUCUCAGCCAUGACAUGUCGGCUCGGCUCUGCUGGCUCAGUAGCUAGUCUCCAUGCAGUGUGAAAGGUAAUGUAAUCUAACGUCAUGUCUCAUAACAUUACCGAUUCCUGGUGACCACAAUACUACAUUCAACUUGUCUUUCAAUAUUUUCAACUAAUAAUAGGGCAUAGUCAACCGUACAACAGUUGUAGUGUGUUAACAGUGCUGUGUCCAUCCAGAUGUUAACUAGUCUUCUCCAGUCACUCACGUGCUUCCUGAUUCAGAGUAAUCAAAGUGGUGUUCAAUCUCAUGCUAUUUAUUUCAGCAGUCUGCCUCCAAUCUGUGUUAAUCUUGCCCACACAAAAUGAGUGUAAUCCGGCUUGACAGUGGCACUAUGCCGCCAGAUUACAGGCAUGGAUAGACAGAUUACUGGCAUCUCGCUCUGUGCACGUGAGCUGUGGGAGCGACAAGAGGAGCACCUUGUUGGGAUGUGGAGAUCUCGCCGGUGGUGGGGUCCACCUGGAAGAGCAGACUGUUUUCCCUGUUGGGGAUCUGGCUGACCAGGCUGUAUCUCAGUUGGGCGUUGGGAGUGGAGGGGUCAUCCCGAUCGGACGCAAACACACGAAUGAAGGGGACGCCUGCAGUGGUACAUUACAGUUAGGUCGAAUUUCCACUUUCUCUUAUUAAGACCUCUCACAGACCUGCUGGAGAGUUCUCUCGGACCAGAGCAGUGUAGUAACUCUGAUUGAAGACUGGAGCGUGGUUGUUGACGUCCAACACAUUUAUGGUCACGUAAAUUGGCCCUUCCGCGACUUUAUCAUCUACCAAAGCGUCCACCUGGACACACACACACAUUCAGUCAUACAGUCCAUGUUCAAUUUGAAAACAUCAUGUUUUUUUCUGUUUUUCUGGGGUUUUUUUUAAAUAUUUUAUUUAUUCAUUUUCUAUUUGAUUUCUCUAUGCUGUGUAAACGUUUUACAUGAGCACUGAUAAAUAGAUAACACGUGACUUUCUCUUGGAGACGAAUAAAGUAUCUUAUUUGUCCUACAUAUCUUUGAUUUCAGCAGGAUGUUGGGAUGCUUCCCUUUGAAUGGGUCGCUAUGAUGUAAAUCUGCAUACUAAUUUGAUACCAAAUUGAAAAGGAAAGUCGAGCAAACAUGAUAAAACAGUAUCCAAUGGACAAAAAUACAUACAAGCAGCGAUAAAGCCUCAUUUUCAGGGGAAUCUCCACUCUCUCCCAUCCUGACACGCACAUACAUUGACAGGUUUUCCAGUGCGGGGAUUGGAACACCAAAUAUAAGUUAAACCUUCAAGAUUAAACACUCUUAAUACACAACAUAAUCAUCAAACUUACUUACUUAUUCAUAUAACUCACAGAGAGCAAUGAAGAACUUCAAGCCUGUCUCCUUCCUUCUUUCUACUAUGAUGGUGUGCUCUGUGCUAUGAGGCGUUCAAGUGCGCUCGUAAUUGUGAGGGUUAGGCGCUAAUUGUUUUUAUUUUUACCCCUGAAACCCCAAUGGUUAGAGUCAGACCAGUUGUCACAGUUGUCCAUGUCGGCUUUUUUAGUAGCGACACUUGUCUUUGCACAGUUUCCUAUGAAACGGUCAAUAAACAUGUUGUAUAUGAUGAGUGUGUUACCGCAAUCAGGUAGUUGUCAUUGUGGGACCAGUCUAGAGGUUUGUCCAGGUACAGCCACCCAUCCUCUGAGAUCUUGACGGCAUCGCUGCCUUCUCCAGUCAGCCUGAAGCCAUUCACACCUGGAUGGUUCACUUGGAACUGAAAGUGACCAGAAACUUACAAAAAAUGACUGUAUGAAGUCAGUAUGUGUGUUUGUGCGUGUAAUACCUGAUAGAGGACAUACGGUACGGGUGUCCCCUCUGGUACCUCCACCACCAUGUUCUCAAAGGAGACCUUCUUGCCCUCCAGGCUCGACCCAUCAGCCUAUCAGAGGUCAAAUGUCGUCAUUUCAAAUAUAACAAACAUUCUGCCCAAGAACUCCACUCCGCCACUUCAGCUCCUAAACAUCACCCAACCAAGAAAUGUCGGUUGUUUAUUGAAGCCAAAUCCCCAGCAAGGACAGGGCGGAUCAAAGGACACAUUUCACUUCAAUGAGUCACCCAUGAGUCAUUCUGUUAAUCACUUAUUAUUGUGUCGUCUGGGAAAUGUGGCGAUUGUGAGGACUUCCUAUGAAUAUGCAGUGUACCGACAGGGUUGUGUACUCACUGAGCUGAGCAGGAGCGCCAGAAGACACAGAUGCACCAUGGGAGUCAUCGUGAUCACAGUCUGGGAAGAAAACGGGAAGUUCUCAGCACAAUGUUCCGCUCGUGUGUUUGCAAUUGUGGAAACACAGUGCAGCUCGCAGUGGAGAUAUUAGCGGUUGUCGACGUAAGCGAAAGCCGUCAUUGCUUUCAUAUUUACUUGUGACUUUGGCCAGAGACGUAAGGGGGAUGGGUGAUCAUAAAGGAUUUCACAACCUGCGGCAGUUUGUUGACACGGUUUUCCUCCAUAUGUGCUAAAUUGAAAUGGGUGCUUUUUGUGAGUUACGGAAAAAAUGAAAGAACUGAAAGAAGAAAAGACCUCGGACCUAUGCCGAAGCUUUGAAAGUAAGCGUCACCUUUCGUUCGCUGUUUUUAUUGAUUUUGACACGACCACAUGCAGUAUCUCCCUUGGAAAAACCACGCUGCUUAGCGAUAGUGAUGAAUUCAACAAUACUACAACACAUGGCAACAUAAAUGCAUCAAUUUUGCCCAGUCGGGUCUCACACUUUAUAUAAGGACACGGUGGACCAGGACUUGAUGAGCUAGUCCACUAAGACGCGGUGUUGACAUAUACGGGUCAAGUGCGUGAUUCCAGUUGAAAGGAUUGAACUCUCAUGGCUUCUUCUGCAUUUUUCUCUGCUGUGUACAGUGUUAUGUCACUGAGUCACAAAGAGCCUCCUGAAGAAAAGCAGCCGUUCGUCCUUGUGAAAGCGCACACGUGCACACUGUAUCCGUCUUUCACUUGCACGUUGAGCCGCACGCAACUUAAUGUCCUCGUAGGCGUGACUCCACCCUGCUGCUACCUAAGCACGCUCGUCCACCCAUCCAUUUUCUAUAUCCAUUGUCCUCACUAGAGUAUGCUGGAGCCUAUCCCAGCUGGGUACACCCUGGACUGGUUGCCCCUCGCCACUUCGCAGCUUCACUCCAUCACAAUUUUUCAAAAAUGUCUUCAUAUAUGUUUUAUGUAUACAGUAUAUAUUAGGGAUGUCAAAGUUAAAACAUUAAUAACGAGCUAAUGGAAAUUCCCUGUAACGCCAGUGUUUUUUUUGACGCGCGAUUAACGUGUGCACGUCCUGUUUGACCCUCAGGCCACACCGUAGUUUGGGAAAAUGCAGCGGCGUUGCAGUUCAUGUUGAGCCACAAGCGGGAACAAGUAUUGAGCAGAAACAGAGAAAGAAAAAGGGUAUUUUAUUAUGGUGAGUUUAUCUUCAAAGCCCUUGAAGAUGGCUAUCUUGACAAGACCUACGUUUUUUUAAAUCUAAUGUCGCUAUGAGUUGAAUUGUCACUAUCGUAUGUCGAGCCUGUAAUGCUACUUGCUGUAUUCAGACGGAGAAACUGAAGAAUCUAGAGAAUGUGCUGGAGCACUGCAGGUAUUUUUUAUUGUCAUUUAAACAGUGGUACCUUGGCAUACAAGUGUCCCAGCUAACAAGUGCUUUUCAUUUACGAGCCGUCUCUCAGCUGCAAGCUAAAAUUUUGAUUACGAGCUGCUUGUUACCGGCAGGCAUAGCCGAAGACAGCUACUUGGAGGGCUUGUGUCACCUUAGUAUGUGGGGACAAAGGCGGAAGUGAGCGAGCACGCACACACAGCGCUCAAUGAGUCAAGUGUGUGUAAAAGCGUGUGUGUGUGUGUGUGUGUGUGUGUAUGUUUGCGUAAAAGCUAAGCUAUAGCCUGACUGCACUACAGUACACGGGCGCAGUCAUAGUUCUGUAAACGACUGACUGAUAAUGAAACAAUAAUAAUAAAUAAUAAAGGCAUAUCUUGUCUUAUCUUAUCUUAUCUGAUCUUGAGCACUUUAUUUUUAGUAAGCUGUCAAUAUUUAUUUUUCUAGCACCCUGUUUUCACUUCACUUAGUUGUUGGGUGUUUUUGCAAACUUUUAUUUGUAAUGUUAGUCACAAGUUAUACUUGCAUAAAGCAAACAUAUUAUCCAGUCUCAUGCUGAUAGGUGUAUUAAAAACAUUAAAAUGAUCUUUCAAAGGUACACUUAUCUGUAAAAACGUCUUUCUAUCUGUGAUUAAUUGUGAUUAAUUACAAGUUAACUAUGUACAAAUUCCAAUUAAUCGUGAUUAAAUAUUAUAAUCGAUUGAGAAGAAGAUGGAAAAUACAUUUUUAUAUCAUGAUAUUAUAUGACUAUAACUUAUAGUUAAUUUUAUCAUUACAUUUAUUCACUGAUUGGCUACCUUGUGUGAGGCGUGUACCACAUACUUUAGUUAGCAAAUACAGUUCCUUGCCUUAUAAAAGGCUACAGUUAUGCACCUAAGAGACACUUCUUUAGGUACACCUGCACAAUCUAUGCAAUCUAAUAUAGGAUUAUGUCUUUACAAUGCUAGCAACAUUAUAGGGGUCUGAUGUAUCUUAUUAUUUAUUAUGUAUUGCGUAAAGCUAAAGCACAAAAUGAAUACAGACCCACCAUCCACCAGUACGACGUUUGACGUGUGCUGUAAAAGGCAGUGUGCUAGCAUGAAUUAACUUGAGCUUGUGCACCGACAAAUAUGCACAUUAGCACUCAAUAGUGUCAUCAAAACUUACCUUUACGCGUUCCCACAUGGUAUCAGCAUUUGGGACCAAAUAUGAGUGAAAGAAGACGGGGAAAAUACAGUAUACUGUAGUCUAUUCGUGCAGCGUGGGAGAAAGUUAGCGCUCCUAAAAUGAGGCGUUCAAGGACCAUCGAACCAAGUUGUACGGCUCACCGCUCACAACAAACAACAUAUACAAGCAAUAUGGGUUUUGUAACUGUAUAUUAUUUUAAAAUAAAAUAAUGGCCCAUAUUUCCAAAAUGUAUACGCAUUUACAUAAAAUUAUUUGUAGUUAUUUACAAAUUUAUGACAAUGUUUUGCUAAUCUGGAGAAAAAAACACAUUUAAUAGACAAUAUUGUCACAAAAAAAAAACAAUAGCUUUUCUAUCGCAUGAUUAGGCAGUUCGUGGCCACACAAAGGACACAUGAAGUGUAGUGAAGGGGGAAGUAGACACAAGUGAAGGUGACAUUGAGCUGUGACCUUUUAGUAAAGUCCCUCAACCAACAUUGUCCAUAUUUAUUCAAACUAAAUGAUUCAUUUUAAUGAUUUUCUUGUCCCAGGGUGAAACAUUUAUAACAUGGAAGCUUAUAAAUACACCCAAGUAGUUAGAUAUGAACUUUUUUUUACCUACAGAGACCAAAGUGUUGUAGUAUUGAGUUGCAAAUGACACAUUUUGCUCUUUUAUCACAUGACUGUCCAUUUAUAGUGUUAGCUUGGAAUAUUUCCAUUUGGCAGUUGUCGCCAAAGAAGGUCUUGAACGUAAGCUCAACGUAUACAAAAAACAUCCAACUUCAACAGAAAUGGCGUUAAAUACUAUAAAAUGCAAAUGAAAAGCAGAGAGCUUAGAUUGAGUGGUCUUACCUUUCUCCGGAGAGAUCUUGCCAGUCACUCCGAGUGGAGACUGAUGUGAGCAGCCUCAUCCUGUCUGGUCAAACGUUAACCACAUUCUAACCUGCAAAGUUUUAUUGGAUCUAAUGAUUGUCUAAUCACCUCUGCCCUCAGCCAAUGAAAGCCUGCCUGAGAGGAAAGAAAGAACGAGAGGAGGAAUACAGUCAGAACGCUAAUGAUAUCAUCUGCUGUAUCACUUUGAUGCUUUCAAACCAAAUAUAUCGCCUAAAAGGCUGCUUUGUUGCUACGCUGAGUUAGAAAACCAUGUCCAGCAUGACCUACUUUGUAAAUAAAUAUUCCUAAACAGUUUCUUACAACGUAUAAAGAUCAAUUACAAUAAAUAGAGGACAUAAUAAAUCUCACUUUUUUGGAAUUUUGCCCAUCAUCCACAGUGAGACAUGUACACACACACACACACACACACGUCUUUCCAUUUUCUGUGAGUUCUGCUAACAAUGCACGUAAUGGGACUCACCUAUUUCGGCUAUAAAGUCCUGUAAAAAAACCCAUAAAAAACCACAACAAAUGUUCCAUUUACAUAAUGUGACCUGUAUAUUAACCGAGCUACAGCGACAUUGUUAUUGUAGGAGCUUACAUCGAAGAACUACUUUCCUGACAUAGUGACACACCACCUCACUCACGCCUCAAGCCACUACCGAGAGGUAAUGUUAGCUACUGGAACUGCUGCUGGGAAAGUUUGGAAAAGUUAACGCUAGGUUAUAAAUCAUGCCUUGCACUUGUAUAGAAGAAGGUUGUGGCAGACUGAAGCAGUGGAUACUUGCUCUCAACUUGGCUAGAUGCCCGUUUGCGCUCAGCAUUUUUUACCAACUGAACGGGGAGCACAGCUGAAAGAUACGCCCAUCCCAUCAGUCGGCAUCCCAAUGAGAGCCGACAUUGGAAGAGACUGUUUUGUUAUGUUACAAUUUUUUCAGUGCAACAUUUAGCACUAGUGCUACAUGAUAAUUAGGGAUGAGCUCGUUUUAGACUAGUACCCAUGACGGAUAAUGCAUUUUUGCAGAGUACGAGCAUAAAACGAUCACUUUUGCCAUCACUGGAUGUUGGCCAUUAUUAGCAAUAGCAAACACUCUUUCUAUGCUGCUGUCGUUGAAGGAAGUAGCGUUCGUUUCUAUGGGCUCUGUGAAAUCAGUGCGCCCAGGAAGGAAGUUCCGGUAUUGUUUAAAAUGACCAAAAUACAGCAAACAUUGUUGGAGGUUUUUGGAGGUGUUUUGAUGGCUUUAGAUGGCUUUACAGGCGGCAUAGGUGUGUCCCAUUACCUGCAUUCUGAGCUGCCUCAUGCUAGCAGUUUUUCACUAUUUAGAAUACAUACAAAAGGGAAAGACAUGUGUAUUGAUGUCUCACAUAAGGGUUGUGGAUGAUUGGCAAAUUCCAAAAAAAGUGCAGUUUUGCUUUAAGUUGUCUUUUUUAAAAAUAUGACUAUUGCCUUUAUUCAUUGUUCUUUCAUCAUCGCAUGUGUUAUAUGCCUCUUUGUUAGAUAUAAAAGGCAGUCGAUAUUUAUUAAGUAAUAUUAUAUAUUAUUAAUACUAGUAUACUAAUACUAGUACUAAUAUACUGUACUAAUACUAUAUCUUAUUAUUACUAGUAUUAUUAUGUAGUAUGUGAGUUUUGUAGUAUGAGCUUUUGAAAUAUUUUAAUCAUUUUUAUCCAUCCAUCCAUCCAUCCAUUUUCCUCCGCUUAUUCAGGUCCGGGUCGUGGAGGCAGCAGUCUUAGUAGGGAAGUCCAGACUUCCCGGUCCCCGGCCACCUCUUCUAGUUCCACCGGAAGGACACCAAGGCUUUCCCAGGCCAGCUGUGAGACAUAAUCCCUCCAGCGUGUCCCAGGUCUGCCCCGGGGCCUUCUCCUGGAUGGGCAUGCCCGGAAAACCUCACCAGGAAGGCACCCGGACUAGAUGCCUGUGCCAACUCAACUGGCUCCUCUUGAUGUGAAGGAGCAGCAGCUCUAUCCUGAGCCACUCCCAGAUGACCGAGCUCCUCACCCUAUCGAUGAGGAAACUCAUUUCAGGUGCUCGUAUCCGCUAUCUCGUUCUUUUGGUCACGACCCAAAGCUCAUGACCAUAGGUGAGGGUGGGACCAUAGAGUGAGCUUUGCCUUCCGGCUCCAUCCGCUUGUCGACCUCACGCUCCAACCUUCCCUCACUCGUGAACAAGACCCUGAGAUACUUGAACCCCUCCACCUGGGGCAGGACCUCAUUCCCAACCCGGAGGGAGCCAUCCACCCUUUUCCCACUGAGAACCAUGGCCUCGGAUUUAGAUCCCAGAAGCUUCACACUCAGACGCAAACCGCCGCAGUAAACGCAAUUUAGAGCAAUGAUAUACAGUACAAGUACAGUAUAAUAGAUUUUUCUUUCAGAGAAAUGAUAAUUAAUUAUUUUAAUUCCAUUUUGUGUUGUUAGUUAUGAAAGGCAGUCGCUAUUUAUUAUAUGUGAUAGUAUAUUAAUAUACAAUACUGUGAUUGGCUGGAGCCCAGUCCAGGGUGUACCCCACCUCUCACCCAAAGUCAGCUGGGAUAGGCUCCGGCAUACCCCCACAACCCUAGGCAGGACAAGCGCAUAGAAAACGAGCACUACACAAUAACGUAUUAUUAGAAUAUUAUUUAUUAUUGUGGUGCACUAUAAGAAUUUUAGUUUUACUGGAGUAACUUUUAAAAAUGUUUAUUCAUUAUCAUUUUAUUUAUGAUACUAUACAAGCUUAAUAUAAUGCUGUAGCAUAAUAGUGAAUUCUUAUUUCCUUUCGUCACUGAUUGGCUGUAUAAAAUCACAUGGUUGUAUCUGAGAGUAGGCGUGGAAGGGUUAGUUUCUUGCACUGUAAAGCAGUAGAAGGUAGUCUCUUACCAUUGGAUUAGACAUUUACCACAAUAGGUAACUGUGAAUUGGACAUUAUGAAAGUAUCUAUAAUCAUUUUGAAAUAUGGAAAACGGCAUAGUAAACUGUACAAAAAGAAGAAGACGGUAGUGUUAAGAGACGAAAAAUUCUACUACUCAGCGCAAAGUUUCUCAUUUUGGACUUUGACCUACACACCAGUGGACUGCUUUCAGAUUGUCCAUUAGUGGCAAUGACUGAUAAGGAUUUUCAUUUUGCCAAUAGCGCUGAUGGAUCACACCCCCUGCCACGGGAAAGCGACAAUAUGAGGUCACGGGGGUCAACUGGCAGGUCACCGUUGUGAACGUUAAACAGUCGACGUUGGCUGCUGCUAAAAUGUCCCAUCAGUGAUACUUAUGCAUAUUUACACGUCUUUACGGAGAAGAUGCCAGCGUCCUUAUCUAUCCAAACAUCCUGUGACAAGCUGUGAAGGAGGAGGAAGAAGGGGAAGAAAAAGGCGACAAUGUGUGUGAAUCCUUAACCGAGAGGAGUGAACAGCCUGUGAAUGAGUCACCGUUUCACAGCAGCGAGGACGUUUGAACACAACCUGUGACUUAGCUGCACCAAGAGCGGCCACAUUAACCAUUAUGUAAUUAUUCAUACAUGGUGACAAACAACAUGCUCCACCUUGUGCCUGGUGCUCUGUUAUGGACGCAGAUGUAGUAACACACACACGCACUACAAACUCACACACAUUGUCUAAUGGGGUGAAAGGAUUUCAUCCUAUCAUGUUUUGAGUGUAACACCUAAAAUGUCCCCGUCAAGACAAACAUGGCCACAAUAAAAGUGGGAUGUCAAGGGUUGUGCUACACAAAGAUAGAAAGACCAGAACACACACACACACACACCGCCUAACGAGGUGAAAGGAGCUCAUCCUAUCAUUUUUGGUGUGGACCAACCAAAAUGUCCUCACAAAAACAAAGGUCACCACAAUAAGGGUGGGGUGUCAAGAGUUGUGCUACACAAAGAUAGAAUGACAAGAACACACACACACACACACACAGUCUAAUAAAGUGAAAGAAGCUCAUGCUAGCAUUUUUCUUGUGUGGAACAAUCAAGAUGUUCUCACAAAGACAAAUGUCCCCACAAUAAGGGUGGGGUGUCAAGAGUUGUGCUACACAAAGAUAAAAAGAUAAGGACACACACACACACACACACACACACACACCAUCUAACGAGGUGAAAGGAGCUCAUCCUAUCAUUUUUUGGAGUGGACCGGCCAAAAUGUCCUCACAAAGAAAAAGGUCCCCACAACAAGGGUGGGGUGUCAAGAGUUGUGCCACACAAAGAUAGAUUGACAAAAAAAACACACACACAAUCAAAUAGAGUGAAAGGAGUUCAUGGUAGUAUUCUCUUGUGUGACCCAACUAAAAUGUCCCCACAAAGACAAAGGUCCCCAUAAUAAGGGUGGGUUGUCAAAGUUGUGCAACAGAAAGAUAGAAAGACAAGUACACUAGGUCCCCAACUUACGAACAUCCAACAUGCGAACAUUCGGAGAUACGAACACAAGCUGACUGGUCUAUAUUUUCAUGUAUUUUGCCUUGUAGUAACUCCAUAAUUAUACUGCUACAUGCUUGACCAGUAGAGGGCACUGUGACACUGCUAAUGGGACCAGCAGGUAGAGGAAGAAGAGGAAGAGGAGAAAGGAAGGCUAAGUUGUAGCUGUAUGAUGCAACCCGGACAGAGCAUGUGAUUAAAGUUGAUGAAGAGUUAAUAGGCCUGCUUAAUUCUACACCACCCACAGAACACUACCUCUUUUAGAAGAGUCUAACAACGACGACCAUUUGUUCUUUUUUUCAGUAACUCCUCCUCCUCCACCACAACGACAUAUGCUCGACCACUCCUCUUCAAAGGACUGAAAGGUCAUGGCAGGACUUGGAUUUGAGCCAGAACGCCACGCUGGGAUUGUUCCUCGCCACCAUCUUGUCCAGGAAACGCUUGGCCUUCAUGGGCAGGCUCUCCCGGCGACCCCGGCGCUUGGCAGCCGCGGCGGCAGCGUCGCUGGAGUUCCGACGCAGACGCAGCUGCCGCACGAUGCCGCGGAAGGCCUCCCACACGUUGUGCUGCAUGGCGGCCGAGGUUUCGAUGAACUUGCAGUCAAAGACAGCGGCGCAGGCACGGCCCUCUGAAACCAGGAAUAACGGUGUCAAAAAAAGGAGGCUACUAUACUGUAGAUGUGGGCAGAUCAACCCAAAUAUUGCAAAAUCAUUCACUUUUCCAAAU
Molecule: long non-coding RNA, 16254 nt
Organism: Dunckerocampus dactyliophorus (ringed pipefish)
Lineage: Eukaryota; Metazoa; Chordata; Actinopteri; Syngnathiformes; Syngnathidae
Exons: 3
Source: RefSeq, a predicted model, not a curated record